RNAcentral lists this transfer RNA (77 nucleotides) under Nevskiaceae bacterium. Its description in RNAcentral is "tRNA-Met". It matches the Rfam family "tRNA". From Rfam's summary of the family: Transfer RNA (tRNA) molecules are approximately 80 nucleotides in length. Their secondary structure includes four short double-helical elements and three loops (D, anti-codon, and T loops). The record is from RNAcentral. Lineage: Bacteria; Pseudomonadati; Pseudomonadota; Gammaproteobacteria; Nevskiales; Nevskiaceae.
GGUGAGGUAGCGCAGCCUGGCAGCGCGGUGGGCUCAUAACCCACAGGCCGCUGGUUCAAAUCCAGCCCUCACCACCA